RNAcentral lists this ribosomal RNA (490 nucleotides) under uncultured bacterium. RNAcentral describes it as "partial 16S ribosomal RNA". It matches the Rfam family "Bacterial small subunit ribosomal RNA", at positions 30 to 507 of the family's 1533-position model. The record is from RNAcentral.
AUUGAACGCUGGCGGCAGGCCUAACACAUGCAAGUCGAACGGUAACAGGAAGAAGCUUGCUUCUUUGCUGACGAGUGGCGGACGGGUGAGUAAUGUCUGGGAAACUGCCUGAUGGAGGGGGAUAACUACUGGAAACGGUAGCUAAUACCGCAUAACGUCGCGACAAAAAAGAGGGGGAUCUUGGCGGCUCGUGCUCGCGGGUGUGCACAGGUGGGAUUAGAUAGUAGGUGGGGUAACGGCUCACCUAGGCGACGAUCCCUAGCUGGUGUGAGAGGAUGACCAGCCACACUGGAACUGAGACACGGUCCAGACUCCUACGGGAGGCAGCAGUGGGGAAUAUUACACAAUGGGCGCAAGCCUGAUGCAGCCAUGCCGCGUGUAUGAAGAAGGCCUUCGGGUUGUAAAGUACUUUCAGCGGGGAGGAAGGGAGUAAAGUUAAUACCUUUGCUCAUUGACGUUACCCGCAGAAGAGGCACCGGCUAACUCCGUG